AUUGAACGCUGGCGGCAGGCCUAACACAUGCAAGUCGAGCGGAUGACGGGAGCUUGCUCCUUGAUUCAGCGACGGACGGGUGAGUAAUGCCUAGGAAUCUGCCUGGUAGUGGGGGACAACGUUUCGAAGGAACGCUAAUACCGCAUACGUCCUACGGGAGAAAGCAGGGGACCUUCGGGCCUUGCGCUAUCAGAUGAGCCUAGGUCGGAUUGGCUAGUUGGUGGGGUAAUGGCUCACCAAGGCGACGAUCCGUAACUGGUCUGAGAGGAUGAUCAGUCACACUGGAACUGGGACACGGUCCAGACUCCUACGGGAGGCAGCAGUGGGGAAUAUUGGACAAUGGGCGAAAGCCUGAUCCAGCCAUGCCGCGUGUGUGAAGAAGGUCUUCGGAUUGUAAAGCACUUUAAGUUGGGAGGAAGGGCAGUAAGCUAAUACCUUGCUGUUUUGACGUUACCGACAGAAUAAGCACCGGCUAACUCUGUGCCAGCCGCCGCGGUAA
Molecule: ribosomal RNA, 499 nt
Filed under: uncultured bacterium
Lineage: Bacteria
Description: partial 16S ribosomal RNA
Rfam family: Bacterial small subunit ribosomal RNA
Source: RNAcentral